RNAcentral lists this ribosomal RNA (468 nucleotides) under uncultured bacterium. RNAcentral's name for it is "partial 16S ribosomal RNA". It matches the Rfam family "Bacterial small subunit ribosomal RNA", at positions 28 to 507 of the family's 1533-position model. The record is from RNAcentral.
GACGAACGCUGGCGGCGUGCUUAACACAUGCAAGUCGAACGGAAAGGCCCUGCUUUUGUGGGGUGCUCGAGUGGCGAACGGGUGAGUAACACGUGAGUAACCUGCCCUUGACUUUGGGAUAACUUCAGGAAACUGGGGCUAAUACCGGAUAGGAGCUCCUGCUGCAUGGUGGGGGUUGGAAAGUUUCGGCGGUUGGGGAUGGACUCGCGGCUUAUCAGCUUGUUGGUGGGGUAGUGACUUACCAAGGCUUUGACGGGUAGCCGGCCUGAGAGGCUGACCGGCCACAUUGGGAAUGAGAUACGGCCCAGACUCCUACGGGAGGCAGAAGUGGGGAAUAUUGCACAAUGGGCGGAAGCCUGAUGCAGCAACGCCGCGUGCGGAAUGACGGCCUUCGGGUUGUAAACCGCUUUCGCCUGUGACGAAGCGUGAGAGACGGUAAUGGGUAAAGAAGCACCGGCUAACUACGUG